RNAcentral lists this long non-coding RNA (4649 nucleotides) under Olea europaea subsp. europaea. The record is from RNAcentral. Lineage: Eukaryota; Viridiplantae; Streptophyta; Magnoliopsida; Lamiales; Oleaceae.
CAUCACUUCACUUGAAAUAUAUAGAACUGUUACAUUUUUAGACAAAAAAGCUUAUAAUAUUGCAGUUUUCAAUCUUCAGGAAAAGUCAGAUUGCUACCAUCAAAGUGUAAAGAUAAACGCUUUUGCUUUUCCAAAAGUCACUAUAUCAAGCUCUGCGCUCAUAAUGUGGCUCUCUCUCUCUCUCUGUCUCUCACAGUCUAAUGAAUUGCACAUAGAAGGAGAGUUUCAAGUUGUUGCAAAUUAUGGCUCUAUGCACAAAUUUCUUGCUCUUCAGACAAAACUAAAAGGUAUGUAUAUGUUGCAACAUUGCUUAAAAAGAAGGAAAAAUCUUUGAUGAAAAUGAUUGAUAUCUUUAGAAUUGUAUUAUUUUCACCAUUGAGUUCACAUCUUUCUUCUUCGGGCAUUUCUUGUAUUGAGUUUUGUUUUUGUAUGAACCCAUCAUUUUCUCAUGCCCAAUAUGUUUGGUAAAAUCAUACAAGUUAUGGGCUUCUUUUUCUUUGAUUCAUUUCUGUCUAUGUGUUGGUUUUUUGCCAUAUUUGUUCUAUAAAUAACCCAACCCACCUUAUUUCUCUCUUUUCAUGUGCAAAAUUUUACCAGAAAUAAUGCAAUGUUUUGUCUGAAUUCCUUUCUGUCUUUGCUGUUUUUCUCUGUUUGGAUAAGGGUUUUAUUAAACCAAGCCAAACAUACCGUGUAAACAUUUAUUUAAAGAAACAUACAUUGGAAAAGAAAUUUCCUUCAUAGUUACUUUGGACUUGAUGGGAACUAAUUUGGUCAAGAAUAUCAGUUUGAAAAAUGCAGAUUUUGAAUUAAAUUCACAUUUUGUGUAAUGCAUUUGGUGUUUAAAUUUUAUGAGAUAACUAAAAAUUUCUGUGAACCUCAUUUAUAUCUGGAACCCUAGUUUUCAAAGUAGAAAAAAUCUUUACAUUUCGAUCAAUAUUAACGAAUUAUUCUGAAGGUACAUAUUUUUUAAUCAUACUUUAUACAUGAAGACAGCUAUCUCCCUGUAAUUUGCUGCUGUCAAAAACCAUUUUUGACAGCAACCAAUCCUUGUGAAACAGCUAUUUUCCUGUAUAAAAUUUGUUAAAAAAUAUGUACUUGUAACACUUCUUAUAUUAACAUGUUCCAAUCUCAUUAAUUAAAAUAUGAUCUUCUUUCUUCUGAAAAAGUAAGUCUACACUGGAAAUUUAUGAUUAAUUAAAAGGGGCUUAUUAUAUUUGACUGAAAGGUAAAAGCAAUUCUUUGGGAAAAGCAACCUCGUUAGUAGCCUAAUUAACUGCAAAAAAAAAAAAAAAAAAAAUGCCUCCCUAUAAUCAAUCCACAAACGAAUGAAUGUUAGGCCAAAACAAUCUUCAAUCUUGGGGUGGGGUUUAGUUGCAGUCUCGAAAAAAAGAAGGGCCUCGAAAUUGCUGCCUGUUUGUCAUCUGUCAGGUGCCCUACACCCUCCCCCAAAGCUGAAACAGUUUGAACUUUGAAAUGGGGAUUGGUGAUUGGUGAACGCGAGAAUAGGGGAGGAUAGAAGAGGGAUUUCCUUGAUUUUCAAGGCUAAAAUAGGGAACCAAAACGGAACAGAGUUUGCUUGCGCAAAUCUAGCUAAACUGGCAACAGGACUUUUGGGCCAAGUAGUAUUUAAAAUAGUAGACAAGAGCAUGGGUGGGGGAGGGAUUCUUGGGGCUAGAAUUAGGGCGGUCAAUAGAUAUUUUGGUCGGAAUCCAAUUCGAAUUUGAUAAAAUUAAAGGAAGAUAAAUAUUAGGGGUGGCAACUUGGUGAGUUCUGGUUGGCAAGCUUUCACCCCGACCCACCUUGCUUUAGACGAGGGGCACGGGAUAGGGACAGGACAACUUUUUGCUCCAUUUAAUUUUUUUUUUAUAUUUUCAAAGUUUUGAAUUAUGUUAUUAUUAGAGAAUAAAAUACAAAUUCAAAAUAAGUUUUUAACAGGUAAAUUGUCUAGAAAUAAAGUUAUUUUUAAUCUUUUUUUAUUAUUUUUUUCUUUCACGGGUAGGGCAAGGAUGCCCCACCCCGCGACGGGGCGCCCCGCCUUGUCCCGCCCACUCCCGCCAACCUAUUCGAGAUGGGGUGGAGCGAAUUUUUUUGCCAUCACUAAUAAUCUCUGUUUGAUAAAUCGAUUGAGAUUCGAAUUUAAUAAUCGAUUAACUAAAUGAAGCAAAUUUGGAUAUAGAUCGAUUCGAUCCUAUAACAACUCAAUCCGAUUUAUUAUAAUAAAAUAAUAUAUUUUAUAUAUUACUUCAUAAUUCAUUACACACAAUUUUUUUUAAUAUUAAAACUUGUAUUAUGCUUUAUGACUUUUAAUGAAAAAAUGUCGAAUAUAUCAAAUUAAUUAAUAUAUAUUACACUCCCUCCAUCCCAUUUAUAUAGACUUGUUUUGUUUUUCACACGGAUUAAGGAAUAUUAUUGAAAAAGCAAUUUUUGCCAAUAAAUUGCCUAGUUUACCUUUAUUUAUAUUUGUUCAAUUUCACAAUUAAGUGGAAAAAUGGUUAUAACUAGGCAAAUUAAAUAAGGGUAUAUUAGUAAACGAAUAGAACAAAAUAAGUUUGAUAAAGAAACAUGACUAUAUAAUUGUGACAGGAAAAUAUGAAAUGUAAGCUUAUAUAAAUGGAACGGAAGGAGAAUCCCCUCAUUCCAAUACAAAAUAAUACAUGCAAAACAUUUUCAAUCGGAUAUCUGAUAAACAUAGCAAAUGCAAUANCUCCUUAGAUGGGGGGGCGCAGGACGGGGACGGAGCAAUUUUUUGCUUCAUAUAAUUUUUUUUUACAUUUUUAAAAUUUUGAGUUAUAUUAUUAUUAAAGAAUAAAAUAAAAAUUUAAAAUGAGUUUUUAACGGGUGAAUUGUUUAGAAAUAAAGUUUUUUUUAUUUUUUUUAUUAUUUUUUCCUUCACGGGGCGGGGCAAGGAUGCCCCCUCGCACAUGCAACACCACAAACCCGUUCAGGACUGGAAGGGACGGGAUGAAUUUUUCUAUCAUUACUAAUAAUCUUUGUCCGAUAAUUCGAUUGAGAACCAAAUUUAAUAAUCGAUUAACUAAAUGAAGCAAAUAUGGAUAUAGAUCAAUUCGGUCCUAUAACAACUAAAUCUGAUUUGUUAUGAUAAAAUAAUAUAUUUUAUAUAUUACCUCAUAAUUCAUUACAAACAAUUUUUUUAAUAUUAAAACUUGUAUUAUGCUUUAUGACUUUUAAUGAAAAAAUGUCGAAUAUAUCAAAUUAAUUAAUAUAUAUUAUACUCCCUCCAUCCCAUUUAUAUAGACUUGUUUUAUUUUUCACACGAAUUAAGGAAUAUUAUUUAAUAUUAUUGAAAAAGCAAAUUUUGCCAAUAAAUUGCCUAGUUUACCUUUAUUUAUAUUUGUUCAAUUUCAAAAUUUAGUAGAAAAAUGGUUAUAAUUAGGCAAAUUAAAUAAGGGUAUAUUAGUAAACGAACAGAACAAAAUAAGUUUGAUAAAAAACAUGACUAUAUAAUUGGGACAAGAAAAUAUGAAAUGUAAGUUUAUAUAAAUGGGACGGAGGGAGAAUCCCCUCUUUCCAAUAAAAAAUAAUAUAUGUAAAACAUUUUCAAUCGAAUAUCCGAUAAACAUAGCAAAUGGAAUAUGUAAUUAAUAAUCAAAUAUCUAUUGAAUUAUCGAAUUAGAUGUGAUUGGAUUUAUAAAUUAUUCUUAUUGGAUCGGAUAUUAACAGAUCCAAUCUACUCCAUAUCCGAUCCAUUUAUGGUCUUCGGUGGAGUGAUUACGGGUGGGGUGGUGUGAGGUGAGGAUGACAUAUACAAUGUGUAGGUAUUUAUUGUUUGUAUGCGUACGAAACGCCAAACACAUAUUUUCAUGCUUAUUUACUUGGCCUUAUUAUGUUGAGAGAGACAGUCACCAAUGUAAUCCAAUAAACAUAUACAAACACAAAGCAAAGGCCUCAUGUCCUCAGUCUUUCUUUUCCCACUGAAGAAAUAGGACAACAAUACCUAUCAAAUCCUUUGGAAAAAAUAAAAAAAUUUCUUGAACAAUACAAAAAUGGUUUCUAAUCCCAAAACAGUGCCUUUGUUUUCUCACAUUUCAUAUCUUCAAGAUGAACCAAGAAACCCCUUUAAUUUAUCUUGAAAAUGGGAGUUGAAAAAACCCUUCUUCUUUUUAUAUUUUGUGUUCACAGGGUAACAGGGUUUUGCUGGUGGAAGUUUUGGCAUAUAAUGAAGCCUGAUGGUAGAAUUUCCAAGAAAAUGGUGGUGGAGAAAUUGCCUGUUUUUUCUGGUUCUUUCGUGAGUUGGGCUGGUUUCCAAAAUCCAUAUUUGCUAGUGGGGUUUGGUUUCCUUCUCCUCUUCUGUUACGUAGGUGGCUUUUGACGGCGGCGUUGGUGGUGGUGAUAUUGGCGGGACGGCUCAAUCUUUUUUUAUCUGUAACAUAAAAUUUUCUUCUCCACUAGAUUUGGCAUGUUCAUAAACAAUGGAUUUGCGAAGAGUUCAUAUAAUAACUCAUCAAGGUUGGCUUCUUUAAUUUCUAAUUUCUCAUUUUGUACUUAGCAUUGGACUGAUCUCUUUACUAAUAGCUUAAUGAUUUAGAUUUCUAACCCCUUAAAAUAAUUUAAUUUUUGUAUUUUUUAUAACUAAAUAAGAAUUAGUUUCUGUAUUCUGCAUAUUUUGGCCGUGGAAAAUCAUUGACAUU